Molecule: long non-coding RNA, 923 nt
Organism: Calidris pugnax (ruff)
Lineage: Eukaryota; Metazoa; Chordata; Aves; Charadriiformes; Scolopacidae
Exons: 4
Source: RefSeq, a predicted model, not a curated record
GGGAAAUAGAGUGUGUUGUGAUUGCAGAGGCGUGAACCAGAAGGGCAAAGGAUCCAGCAGUAAAAAGAACAACCUGUCAUCCUUUCAGUAUUCUCUGUCCUGAAAUUGCUGUGGAAAUGUGGCAGAUGGGGCUCCAGGUGCCACAGAGCCAACGCUUCCUCUACAUUAGAACACAGCGAAGUUCUGAGUUAGGGCUUGCCUGAUGCAGGCAAAGGAACUCAAACCAAAAUAUGCUGGAUUGAGAAACUAGCUGGAGUUCACGUUCUCUGUGGAGUGAGCUUUGGGGUGGACUGCUGCUGAAGGCAGAGUUUGCUGCACGGGGGAGAAGGCGACAGUUCCUACAGAGGCAAGGUGCUCUGCGGGACAGUUCGUAACCUCCUGUGAGAAGUAUCUGAGUCAUUUAAUCGAGUAGCAGCGAGGUUUCAUUACGGCGCUGUAACAGAGAAGCCUGGAACGGUAUCUGCUGCUAGGAGAGGUCCUUCACCCCCCUCGGGCCCGGCGGCGAGGGAGAAAGGUGAAUCUGCUGCAAAGCCAGCCCGGGAGCUCCGCCGCCCCCCGGGCCCCGCUCCCCAUGGGGAGGCGGAGGCGGCCCCGCUGCCCCCCGCUGCCGGUCCCGCUCCCGGCUGGCGGCCUGCCCGGAGAGGGGGAGGCGGCCGCGGGGCUCUGCCAGCCGGGUGUGCCCUGCCCUAGGCGCGGCUCCCUGGCAGGUACUAAUCGCCGCCCUGCCCUGGCUCCCUCCUGCAUUCGCCGCCCCGCUCCCCCCGGAGCCGGCGGUCCCCGAGCGCGGCCGGCAUGUACGGGGGCCAGCAGCAGCUGCAGCCCCCCUCGCUGCCCCCGCACCUCCAGCAGCAGCACCAGCAGCACCACUACUACCGGCGCCAGCAGCACUACAGCACGCUCCCCGCCGCCCGGCGGACCCCGGC